GUGCUGUCUGUCAGAGAAAUGACCAAGCUGUUGCUGUCAGGCUGUCUGCAGCUAUCAAAAAUUUCAAGCACAUCUUCCUUGCCGAAUCCUAUCAACUGAUCAGCAACAAAUCGGUAGCCACAGGCUGCUGGUUUCAGGACUUUCAUGGCUGCAGGAGGAAGCCAGCCAGCAGGAGCCAGAAGGGCCAACACUGCUAUGUUAUCCUGGGGUUGUGCUGUCUAGCUGACUGAGGCCCAGCCUGCAGUCAGCUAGACAGGCCCUAGGGGAGCCCAUGUCAUGUGGUGCUGAACCUUUCUGUGAGCUCCCUCCUCAGUCAUUGAGGAAUGUAUCUUUUAGCUCUUGAACUGUGAAAACUGAGGUUUUAGAUGUGCUGCAAAUUGUCUGUUCAUCUGUGUCCUGCACUGCCUGGAUUACUUCAUACUGUUUACACAGCAAAACAAACUAUAUAACAUCCCAGGGGCUCAAUGCCGCUGCCACAGAAUACCGAGAUGCAGAAGAGCAAAGAUACAGCUUUACUUGAUUAGAACAGUCUUCAACCUCCACCAAUUUGUGGUCCAGGGACUUUGUGUUCAGGGGAUGGAAUUGCUGUAUUUAAAACAACUAGAAUUUUCUUCUAAAGAAUUACUUUUAGAAUCCAGAAGAUACUGCUGUCAAAAUAUCAGGUACUUGUGUUUGAUUUGAACCUGCCACCUACUGUUUUCUUGCUGUGAAACUUUCCUCGUUCUUCUAUUAGCCUGAGAGAUGCUGGGGACAAGAGCAGCACGUAGGAUUCCCCUUGGAAUAUCACAGUGGCAUGGUUAUAUUCUAAAACUUAUUCCCUGUGUGUUUCUUUUGAUAAUAACUCCUAAAAGUAUCUGAUUUUUGAGCAUUGAGGUGAUGUUUUCAUGUGAGUGUUUAUUCUAAACAAAAAAUUGCAGGAGUUGACAAUCACAAAAAUCUAAUUCCUGAAUGUUAACACUCAGCUCAAAAUUGUAAUUUUAAAUAUAAAAUUAAGGUUGUUCUGUUGUCUGAGUAUCAUUUUAUGUUAUCCAUAUUGAAUCUCAUUGCCACUUUAUGAGCCAGUCACUCAAAUCAGUAUAACUUUUCUACAUUUAAACCCCAUUUCUGCUACCUUGAAUAACAUCAGCAAAAUGAUCACCCCUUUUCUUAAUCCGUUAUAAAUGAGUUAAAGGCUAGCAGAGAACUAUAACAGUACUUUGACAAUCACUCUCCAAUAAGAAAACUGACUUGUUUACUGUAACUGACUGCUUUCUACCUUGUAACUAGUUCUUCAUCCAUAUGGAGGUAUUGAUACAGACAUUAUCCAAACUGUUAAUUGUUUUCCUUUGACAUUAAGUAAUUUGGCUAAUUAAAGUGCUAGAGAUUUUAAAAAAAAAAAAAGAAAAACAAAAACAAACAGCAAGUACUAGCGGAGGAAGAAAACCCUUCCUUCCCCAAUAUGCCAUUAAGACUUCCAUUGCCCAGAAACACAAGGAAGUCUGAUCUUCAAUCAGAGAUGUAUGCAUAUCUUUUAGAGAUAGUUCUGAGGAUUCUUCUUCUCCU
RNAcentral lists this long non-coding RNA (1542 nucleotides) under Numida meleagris (helmeted guineafowl). Its description in RNAcentral is "lncRNA (ENSNMEG00000001452.1)". Lineage: Eukaryota; Metazoa; Chordata; Aves; Galliformes; Numididae. The record is from RNAcentral.